AGCUUACUUCCAAGUGUGAAGACUGGUUCUAAAGAGUCCACAAUAUCAAGGUCCCACACUUCAAUAACAGGGGUCAUAUUUCCCACAGCAAUAUAAUUUCCUACAGGAGGAAAUGAGAUCCACAAUGGGCCAUGGGAUUAAAAUGGCCUAAUCUACAGACUUCCUGAAGGCAGCCUUAAAGAUUGUGAAGAGUUCCAGAAAGCCACGCUACAAAAUGGAGUAAGUGACAAGAUUUUAUUUGAGAGAAAGAGAGCACGAGCAAGAGAGGCAGAGGGAAAGAGACAAGCAGACUCCCUGCUGAGCGGGGAGCCCGACACAUGGCAUGAUCCCAGGACGCCGAGAUCAUGACCUGAGCUGAAG
Molecule: long non-coding RNA, 360 nt
Organism: Mirounga angustirostris (Northern elephant seal)
Lineage: Eukaryota; Metazoa; Chordata; Mammalia; Carnivora; Phocidae
Exons: 3
Source: RefSeq, a predicted model, not a curated record